This 208-nucleotide long non-coding RNA is filed under the name Elaeis guineensis (African oil palm). RNAcentral's name for it is "long non-coding RNA (EGUI_LNC068825)". The record is from RNAcentral. Lineage: Eukaryota; Viridiplantae; Streptophyta; Magnoliopsida; Arecales; Arecaceae.
CAAUAAGAAAAACUUUUUGAUGCUCCACCAAGUUAGGACUUAAAUCAAAACAUAUAAGUAGAACCGAAUCAAUCAUAUUUUUUACAAUUUCUUUCCUCCAAACUUUUAACAUCUAUCAAAUACUUUCCAUAGUAAUCAUGCAAAUCUUUUAAGAUCAAAUUCUUCAUGUCAUACUAGAUUGUAACAUUGACCUCAAUAACAAUGGCAA